Molecule: long non-coding RNA, 719 nt
Organism: Bombus terrestris (buff-tailed bumblebee)
Lineage: Eukaryota; Metazoa; Arthropoda; Insecta; Hymenoptera; Apidae
Exons: 2
Source: RefSeq, a predicted model, not a curated record
AUUACAUAUUCUAUUUUGAAAUAAUAAUAUUGUUGAAGAUGUAUGUAGAUGUAAUUUCGUGUUAGAUAUGGAUGAAAUUUAAUGGGAGAUCAAUAUAGAAUUACGUAGCUGUUGAAUUUGGAAACGAACAAAAGUUUAAUGAUCCUUCUUGGGGAUUGCAGGUAUUGGAAUUAGAUAUUGAUACAAAUAUUGGCCGUAAUUAGUAUGGAAUUGACGCAUUCCACAAAGAUACAGGUUGAGAACCAUCUGUUUAGAGUGCACUUGCAAGACACAGCGCCGUACAUAGUUGGAACGUUAGCCUCAUAUCUACCCACCACGUUAUUACCGACGACUCCCAGUUAUACGCUUAAUGUGCGAGCUGAAUUCAUCGCGCGCGAUUGUGCGAACUCGAAGAUCAUCCUUCUCGAGGAACUUUUAAAAGUUGCAAUUGGUACAUGCAACCCUGCAUCUCUCAUCCCUUUCUUUUAGAUAAACUACGGCUUUCUUCAUUGAUGAAGAACUUUGAAGCUCAACCCUUUAUGAUAUAAAUUAUAUGUAACAUUUAAUGCAAUACAUACAAUGUAUUUUAAAAUUAGAACAUUGGAAGUUGUAGAUUUGGUAAUGCACUUACAUAGAAUUUAAAUAUUCUUGGUGAAACUUGGAGCUUUCUUUUAAUGUAAUCUAGGAGAUUGAUUGUUAUAAGGAACGAACUCUAAAAAUAUAGAGAUUCUCAAAUCGAA